RNAcentral lists this ribosomal RNA (305 nucleotides) under uncultured bacterium. RNAcentral's name for it is "bacterial SSU rRNA". It matches the Rfam family "Bacterial small subunit ribosomal RNA", at positions 332 to 638 of the family's 1533-position model. The record is from RNAcentral.
CCCAUCCUACGGGGGGCAGCAGUGGGGAAUAUUGCACAAUGGGGGAAACCCUGAUGCAGCGACGCCGCGUGAGUGAAGAAGUAUUUCGGUACGUAAAGCUCUAUCAGCAGGGAAGAAAUAAAGUCCUUUGGACUUUGGACGGUACCUGACUAAGAAGCCCCGGCUAACUACGUGCCAGCAGCCGCGGUAAUACGUAGGGGGCAAGCGUUAUCCGGAUUUACUGGGUGUAAAGGGAGCGUAGACGGCAGCACAAGUCUGGAGUGAAAUCCCGGGGCUUAACCCCGGAACUGCUUUGGAAACUGUGC